AUUAAUAGUUAAGUAUAUCUUUAAUGUAUCGUAGAAAAAUACAGUAUAUAAAGACCAUGAUUUCAUGGGUUUCAUGACAUAGGAUGACAUUACAGAAGGUGAUUAUUUGUAAAGUCCAUUUAAAAACAUUAAGAAAUUAUAUAAAUAUAUAAACUGCUUUCUGAAGUGGCUCUCCUAUUUUAUAUUCCCUUCAACAGGGUUUGAAGGUUCUGGUUUCUCCACAUCCUUGUCAACAUUUGGGAUUGUCUGACUUAUUUAUUAUAGCCAUUUCUGUGACUGUGUAGUAGUCAUACAUAUUUUAAUUGAGAAAAUGUGUUUUUUUUGCUGAGAAAGUAUUUAGAUAUAAAUGAUAGUAGUUUUUAAAUACAUACCAUUGUAAGAUGGAGCUUGGAUACUGUGAAGCUCUAGAAGUAGAGCUAGAACUAAUGUAGACUUUAUAAAGAACCAAAUUCUGGCACAGUUAAGCAACACAUUAGUGCUGUGGACUCCUACAAAGGAGUGGUGACCUUCUUACUGAGGAUGUUUACAUGCAGCCCUAUCAGCAUUCUCCCAUCAGUGGAAAUCGACUGAAUGACUUCACCGGAGAAGGAGUGCAUCGUAAGGAUUUGGGAUGAUUGGCAGAAUCUAAGGAAAAGCGAUGAUAUUGGGAAAGGACGGGAUAGGAAGCAGCUCAUGGAAUCCAAGUAGCAGGAGCCAGUAGGCCGUUUCCUCAGAGAGCUACUGAAUGAGCACUAUUUUCUGACCUUAUGUCAUUGCACUCCAGACUUAAGUUUUCAAGGCAGACAGUCUGCGUGGCCUGGUUUAGUUUACACAGCCCUCCUUGGUCAGGAUGAGACAGAAUUGAUCAUCUCACCCAAAGGACAUGCAAUAAAGCAAAAAAAGUUCCCAGAAAAUCAUUGAAGUGCUUUUACCAAAAGAAGAAGCCGCUGUGUGCUGGAAAACCAGUAGGCGCCCACCACAUUAGGUCACGACAGCUUGGAUAAGUAUUUAGGAAGAAUUAGAAGCCCUGGUCCAAGGGAUAACAAAUUUCUAAGGCCCAUUCAUUCCUCGAAUUUUUAUUAAAGGUCUCCUAUGAUUUCUGUGAAAUCAGUAACUUCUAUGUGCUCAAUAUUUGUGAUUCAAAAGUAUUUUUAUACACAUAGCAAAUAUUAUUUGAAUGCAGAAAAAAAUGUUGCCCAUCUGUUUUUUGGAGGGGAGAAAUGUCCAUUUUAUUUUGCUAAAUAUAAGCACAUGAACAGAUUUCCAUGGUAGAAAGUUUCAGUUGGACCAAAACUUGUGUGAAUCCCCCGCCCAACCUCCGGUGGCUCCGUGUGAAUCUUCUCUACUUAGAUACAGAUUCUGUUCCCACAUCUGGACAGUCAAUUGCCUGUUGGCAUAUGGUUAGAAGAUGUUUUAUGAUUAACUUUUGACUCAACAAUAUCUGGAAUAUUAUUCCACAAUUACUAUAUUUUAAGUUUUUAUGUUGCUCCAUAAUAGGAAGGUACCCUGGUACCUACAUAUUACCAGAUGGAUGUUACCAGUUCCUAUUGCUAGACAUUUAGGCUUUUCCCCCACUAUAUCAUUUCGAUGAACAUAAUUGUUACGUGUGUUUGUAAAUAUGGGCAAGUAGUUCUCUAAGGUAGAUCGCUAAAAUAAUACAGUGGUUAAGAUCACAGACCCUGGAGUCAAACUGUAAGGAUUCAGGUUCCAGCUCUGCUAUAUACUUGUGCAUUGUUCUUACUGCCCAGUAAUUUUAAGGCAAGUUUCAUCGACUUAGAGCCUAAAUUCAGAAAUAUGAACACUUUGAUGAAUUUUCCCAAAGUGAGUAUGUACCUAGGGCACAGACUAGAAAUAGACACCAGGAACCCUUUCAUCCUUCCUCAGAAAGUACUUCUAUUCAAGGUGAGCAAUAUCAUGACCUCUAAGACCAUAUAUUUGUUUUAUUACUUUUUAAACUUUAUGUAAAUGGAAUAAUAAUUAUGAGUAUUUUGGGGGGAGGUCUGAGUUAAUUCACUCAAUAGCAUGUGUAUGAAAUUCAUCAUAUUGUUGUGUGUAGCUGUAAUUUUACUCACAUGCUAAUUGCUAUAGAGUAUUCCAUUGUGUGGAUGUAUCACAGGUUUUCCAUUCUACUGGUGGUGAACAUGUGGAUUGUUUACAGUUUGGGUUAUUACAAAUAGUGCUAAUAUGAACAUUCUUGUACAUUCUGGUGAGGUUUUGAGGGUUACAAAUAAUGCUGCUUAUUAAUAAUCUUGUCCAUUUCUUUUGGUGAACAUACAUGUGCAUUUCUGUUGGAUAUAUAUGUAAGAAGUGCAUUUACUGGAUCAUAAGUUAUGUAUAUGCUCAAUUAUAGUCAAUAAUGCUUAACAGUUUUUCAAAGUAGUUGUGACAAUAUACACUCCCAGGAACAUGUGAGACUUACACCUGCUCCAUAUCCUUGCCAAUAAUUGCCAAAAUCUUUUUCAUUUUAACCAUUUUGCUGAAUGGAGAUUGUCUAGUAAUACUUGAAGAAUUUUAAAAUUUUGUUAGUAGAGGAAACAAUUUAGGAUAUCACUCUCCACAGAUUAAAGUUGUAUAUGGUAAUCUAGAGUUUUCUGGAAUUGAUAAAAUAAUUUUUUCUUAGAAAAUUAAAAGGUGGUGGAAAUCAAUUGUUUUCUGAUUCCAGCAAGUUACUGGCUCCCUGGGAAUGGAUUAAUUUUGUUUGGAUUAUUCCAUGUAAUGAAGGUUUCUCUGUCAGACUCUAGAACCUGGGUUUGAACAUUACCCCCAUUUUAAAGCUGAAUCCCAAAAUUCAAUAAAAUUAGUCCUCUAAAGUUUUGAAAGUAUUGUUUCUGGUACAUUAUGCAAUUUCAAAUAUUACUACUCAACCUAGGAUUAGGACUGCAAAUUCAUGGCUUACAUUCUAUCAUCCCCCAUCUCUGACCAGGCAAAUUGCAACAGAUGGUGUGAAUCACAGAAUUCAUUCCUACUGACUUAUACAUGGUUUCAGAUUUUUUUUUUUCCCUCAAUCCAGUGCUCUACUGUUGUUUGCAAGUGUGGUGUCACAUUAAGACACUUUUUUUCAUCCUAUACCUCAAGUUAUAAGGUAAUUUGCUGAGUCUUAAAGCUUCCUAAAAUGUUGCCAUGUUUGUCAGCCCUGUAUUAGGCCAAAAGAAAUGAGACUCAUUCUUAGAAAGCUGUAAUUUAAAUCUAUUACUUAAUCAUAGUGACUGAGGAGCUGGCUUACUUUUAGUUUAGUAUUGUUUCAUUUUUAAAUUUCCUUUUUUCCUUUCUAUUUAAUAUUUAAUAAUUUUUUUUUCCAUUUGGACUAGCAAAAAUUCUGAAAGGGUUGCUACAGCUUCAUAGGUCAAAUUAAGUUUUGCUAGGAGACACUGAAAUCAGAUAUCCCAUAUCUGUGGCAUCUUCAGUUUGUGGGGGCACAGCACCCAGACAUAUAGGUGCUCUGUAGAGAAGCUCUAGGAAUCUGCAGGGGUGUCAAAAGGGCUUUCGUUGUUUGCUAAAGAGCACAUGCAUAGAAUGAAGUGCCAUAAUGUCUGACAAAAAGCUGUUACUGGGAACUGUAAAUUGUACAAUUCCCAGAGCUUACCCAUGGUGGGGGAGAGAUUUGAGGUUUUGCCACCAGAGUAGCAAGACGUCAUUGAAAAUCUUGGGUGUGGGGCGCCUGGGUGGCUCAGUUGUUAAGCUUCUGCCUUCAGCUCAGAUCAUGAUCCCAGGGUUCUGGGAUCGAGCCCCACAUCAGGCUCCCUGCUCUUCGGGAAACCUGCCUUUCCCUCUGCCCCAGGAUCACACUGAUUAGUGGGCAACUGCCUGCCAAAUUCAACAUUUCAAAUGAAUAAAACAAAAUCUAAAAUCUUAAGAACAUAGGAUUUAUGGUGUCUAAUACCCAAUAACAAUCAUGACAUGCAAAUAAACAGGAAAAUGCAAAGAAGAAAAUCAAAAGAAACUGAUCUGAAAUGAGAUUAAUGUAGUAGCAGAUAACACUGAACUUUAACUAUUAUACAUAUAUACAUAUAUGUAUGUUAUGGAAAACAUGAACAUAAUGAGAGAGGUGGAAGAUAUUGAAAAGGGAACUUCAGAGCUCAAAAUUCAGUAUCUGAGUGGGAAAUUCACCUCUGGAUUAUCAGCUGCUUAGGCACUGCAGAAGAAAAGAAUAGUGAACUUGAAGAUAUUGCAAUAGAAACUAUUCAGAUUGAACUACAGAAAAAAAAAAAAAAGUAGUAAUAAAAAGAACACAUUCUCAGUGACCUGAAAAAUAGUCCAAGUGAUCUAAUGUAUGUGUAAUUGGAAUUCCUGAAAAGAUCAGGGAGAGGAGAAAGAGAAAAGAGUUGAAGGAAAAGUGGAUUAAUUUUUUUCAGACAAGAUGAGAACGGAUUCCUAAAACUAAGAAACUCAACAAAUUCCAUACAGGAUAAUGGAAAGGAAAACUAUUAUAAGUCAUAUCAUAUUCCAAUUGUGGGGAACCACUGAUAAAGUGAAGCUCUGAAAAGCAGCCAGAGGGAAAAAAGAAAUAUUAAAUACUGGGGUACCAAGAUAAAAUCACUACUGAUUUUUUGUCAGAAAUAAGGCAAAACAAGGAAUGGAAUGAUAACUUUAAUAUACUCUUAAAAAGUUAACCUAGGGUUCUAUGUCAAGUGAAAAUAUCCUUUAAAAAUGAGAACAACAUGAAGACAUUUUGGGGCAGACAAAAGCGAAGAGUUUUUCCAGGAAACCCGAAUUACAAGAGAUGUUAAAAGAAGUUCUUCUACAGGAAGAAAAAUGAUACCAGAUAUAAACCUCAUUCCGUACAAGUGAACGAAGAAUGCCGGAAGUGGUAAAUAUGGGGGAAAAUAUGAGAUUUUUUCCAGUUUUAAAAAGAUUUUAUUUAUUUACUUAGAGAGCACAAGGGUGAGGAGCAGGGGAAGAAGCAGACUUCUCACCCAGCAGGGACCCCAAUGUGGGGCUCCAUCCUGGGACUCUAGGAUCAUUACCUGAGCCGAAGACAAGAUGCUUAACCAACUGAGCCUUCCAGGUGCCUCUGGAUUUUUUUUUUUUUCAUUUUUAUCUCAUUUAAAAAAAUUACCUUUUAAAAGCAAAUGUAGUCACAGUUUAUGGUGGGAUUUAGAGUUUGAAGUAAAAUAUAUGAAAGUGGUAGCAUAAAGAUUGACAGAUCUCACUUCAGCUGGGUAUAAUUUUCUGUAUUCAUCUGGUGUUUUUUAGUGCAUGAAAUCACACAUAAAAUCAAAAUUUAAGUUAUAUUAAAUUUUUCUUUACUGCAUUAGAACAAAUUUGCGAACUGAUUGCACAGUUCACUGAGUAUGACAGAAGUUUAUACUCAUGUGACUAUGAUGAAAAUCAAGAUGCAGAUCAUUUCCAUGACCUCAAAGAGUUUACUUAGUACACUUUGUACUAAUUUCUGCCUUAGGCUCAAGCAAUAUUAGAUUUGCAUUCUGUCACUAGUUUUUCUUGCUCUACAUUUUCAUAUAACUGGAUCAUGUGAUGGGAUACUUGUAUUUUAUGUUUGGUUUCUUUUCCUUAGAAUAAUGUUUUGAAAUUCAUCUGUGUUGCUGUGUAUAUCGAAUACAUUGUCCUUUUUUUAUUGCUGAAAUAUAUUCCCUCAUAUAGAUAUGCCAAGUGUAUUUAUCCAUUCAACAGAGGGGUAUUUGUGUUGUUUCCAGUUUGGGGCUAUUAUGAAUAAGACUUCUGUGAAUAUUCAUGUACAAGUUUUUUUGUGGACAUUUGCUUUCAUUUCCCUCGGUUGAAUAAUGGAAGUGCUAGGUCAUAUGGUAACUGACAACUUUCUUAAGAAACAACCGUAUAGGUCUACAAAGUGGUUGUACCAUCUUAUACUCCCACCAGCGAUGUCUAAAAGUUGAAAUUACUUCAUAUCCUCAGUUGGGUUUUUCAUCUGUUUAAUUUUAGCUAUUCUGGUGGGUGUGUAGUGGUAUCAUUGUGAUUUCAAUUUGCAUUUCUCUGGUGACUAAUGAUGUUGAGCUUCUUUUCAUGUGCUAAUUAGAUGUUCUCAUAUCUUCUUUUGUAAUUAGAACAAGGUGUCUGUUCAAAUGUUUUGCUCUUUAAAAAAUAGGUUGUUUUAUUAUUCAGUUAUGAGAGUACUUUAUAUAAUCUGGUUUCAAGUCCCUUGUAAUAUAUAUGUUGCAGAUAUUUUCUUCAAGUUGUAGACUGACUUUUCAUUUUCUUAGUUAUGUCAAAGAGUGGACUUUACAAGCUUCCUAUCUGUUUUAUUAAUAUUUCUUGAAUGAUCAAUGCUUUCUAUGUCCUAAGGUAUCUUCUCCCUUCCCAAAGUUGCAAAAGUUUUCUUCUAUAUUUUGCUGUAUUACAUUUCUUCUAUAAGGUUUAUAAGUUUUAACCUUCAUUUUUAGGUUUCUGAUUUAUUUCAGACAGAUUUUUUUUUUUUUGCCUGGUAUGAUUGAAGUGGAUUUUUUUCCAUGUAAAUCUAAUUUUUCUCACACCAUUUGUUGAAAAGACCAUCUGUUCUCCCAUCUUUGGCACCUUGGUCAAAAUUAAUUAAUCGUGUACGUAUAGGUGUAUUUUUGAACUCUCCAUUUUGUUCCAUAGACCUAUUUAUCUGUCUAUAUACUAAUACUGCACUGUCUUGAUAACUAUAAUUUAUGGUAAGUCUUUUUUUUUUAAGAUUUUUAUUUAUUUAUUUGACAGAGAUUACAAGUAGGCAGAGAGGCAGGCAGAGAGGAAGGGAAGCAGGCUCCCUGCCGAGCAGAGAGCCCGAUGCGGGGCUUGAUCCCAGGACACUGGGAUCAUGGACUUGAGCCGAAGGCAGAGGCUUUAACCCACUGAGCCACCCAGGCGCCCCUAUGGAUGGAAUGUUCUGGACCAGAUGGACUUAACGGAUCUAUUCAUUUUGCAAAUACUGUUUUCUCUGCUGUCAAGGACUGGGCUAGGUCCAGGUGACAGGAGCGGAUAAAUGCGGAAGGCCCAGGGAUCUCGAGGAAGAGAAAAGGGAGGAAGAAAAGGAAGCAUCUAGACAACCCAUCAUCUCUAGAAUAUCACGGAAGUAGCUAGCGUUGACCGUUUUCCCAAGGCAUUAGUAACUGGAAACAGCUCUGCCCAUCUCAAUCUGUCCUUGGACAGUAUCUUGAGUGACAUGAUAUUACCCUAUUAUGUGAACAAAGACACUGAUUUUAAUUACAUGGAAAUUGAUGUUUACUGCGAGCUUUAUAUGAAGAGUAAUUACUACAUUGAAAAAGAUCCAAAGAGUAGUUAUUCAUCUUUAUGAGCUUUGAUUUGUGUGUAAAUGCAUCUUAUCUCUAGUCUUCAAUAGUGAGAAUGAAUUUGUGCAUUAGAGUCACAUUUAUAUGUCAUUUUUUCCCCCAGAUUCCUAGUGCAUGUGUGGUUUUUGCCUAUCCACAAAAGUUGACUUCAAGUCUUUGUUUAGCUUACUUCUGUCUCAGUAUAUUGCUGCUUAAUUUUUCCCUAAGUAUGCUUGGGCAUACUAUCAGAAUUUUUGCUUCCAUGACUAGAAACAUUGCCUUUCUCAAGGUCAGAGAUUUGUCUUAAUCAAUUUUGCAGAUCUCCCAACAAAGCUCAAAGUUUGGCUUAUAGGAAGCAUUCAAAUAAAAGUUGAAGGAAAUAAAUCUAGCUCAAAUAGAUGAUUUGAGACAAAUGAAAUAAUCUGCAUUCCUUUAUCUGAAAAAGAGAUAGUUUGAUUUAUAUCACCAGUGUAUGUAUAUAUUGAGGAUCAAUAUAUAAGGCUAGGAGAUUAAUUGCUCAGAAGAUGAUUAUUGUAGAAAAUUCAAGGGAAAAAAAUCACCGUCUGUUUCUGUGCUGUGAUGUGUCUGCAUAAAACCCUACUCUCCUUGUUUUGCUGAGGUUGCAAGUACCUGAGUGAGUUGCGGCUCCCGCCCUCCUCGAUCUAUGUGGUGUCAAUACUUUACACAUUGCUCAUUUCCACUGAACAGCCGCUCUUCGGAUGGAGUGUAAUUUCAGAUUUUAAUUAGGAAUUAGAGCAAAGGUCAAUUGGUGUCUCACAGUGUGGGCUGAAAGAGAGGAGUAGAAGAUGAUUACACUUUUGUCUGGUGCCCAUUGCUCAUUUUAAAGGAGAACUUGAAGCUAACAAUGCUAUGAGGCCAGGUGUGUUUGCCCAUCUGCCGUCCCUGACAGCUGAAGCUACUUCAUCAACGUUGAUCCACAUGCUCUGGCAGGGUUCUUGGAUUUUACAAGGGUAACAGAUUCUAACAGACCCUCAAAGAGCCACACAACCAACUCUGGAAAUUUGGAGUUUACAGCAGAUUUAAUCCACCAGAGGGCCUACAAGGGGGAAACCUUGUCGACAGGUCUCCAAAGCCAGAAAAUCCUGCAUUACGAGAGGAGUAAAUCCAGUCCAAUACCUUGGAGAAGGAAAACCAGAGAUGGUUGUAGCUAUACCUGCCCUCAAGGAACUCUGUGUCUACGACUUCCUCUCUGUCCGUUAUCUUGACACUUUAAUCCUGCAAAUGCCAUGUUGCCCGACGAUGCCUUUAAAAAAUGAGUUGUGUUUGCCUUUCAGUUAUUUUACUACACAUAAUUUUUAUUCGAGUAAUUUGGGCAUGUGGCUAAGAGUAGUCAUUCCUUGCCCCAUCCGUCCCGCCGUUACCCCAUUCUCAAGAGUCAGCCACUGAUAACAAAUAUCUGGUAAUGCUUUUGUAUCUUUAAAUAGGCUUUUUCUAUCAUUGUCUGUUUUAUCAAUUUUAGACUCCAUGUAAAUGUGCUUUCUUUACAAUAAAAGUGAUCUGAGAUAUUCA
Long non-coding RNA from Mustela lutreola (European mink), 8708 nucleotides. RefSeq lists it as uncharacterized. NCBI's taxonomy places the organism in Eukaryota, Metazoa, Chordata, Mammalia, Carnivora, Mustelidae. The transcript has 5 exons. The record is from RefSeq and is a predicted model, not a curated record.